GGUGGGUAGCUCAGUGGUAGAGCACCUGCCUAGCACGCACGAGGGCCCUAGGUUCCAUCCAGGCACUGCCA
Molecule: transfer RNA, 71 nt
Filed under: Heterocephalus glaber (naked mole-rat)
Lineage: Eukaryota; Metazoa; Chordata; Mammalia; Rodentia; Bathyergidae
Rfam family: tRNA
About the family: Transfer RNA (tRNA) molecules are approximately 80 nucleotides in length.
Source: Rfam by way of RNAcentral